Molecule: ribosomal RNA, 402 nt
Filed under: uncultured bacterium
Lineage: Bacteria
Description: bacterial SSU rRNA
Rfam family: Bacterial small subunit ribosomal RNA
Source: RNAcentral
UGGGGAAUCUUGCACAAUGGGGGAAACCCUGAUGCAGCGACGCCGCGUGAACGAUGAAGCCCUUCGGGGUGUAAAGUUCUUUCGACAGGAACGAUAAUGACGGUACCUGGAGAAGAAGCUGCGGCUAACUACGUGCCAGCAGCCGCGGUAAUACGUAGGCAGCGAGCGUUGUUCGGAGUUACUGGGCGUAAAGCGAGUGUAGGCGGUUUCCUAAGUCAGGUGUGAAAGCCCCGGGCUCAACCCGGGAAGUGCACUUGAAACUGGGAGGCUAGAGUACUGGAGAGGUUGGUGGAAUUCUCGGUGUAGAGGUGAAAUUCGUAGAUAUCGAGAGGAACACCGGUGGCGAAGGCGGCCAACUGGACAGAUACUGACGCUGAGACUCGAAAGCGUGGGGAGCAAACA